UACGUAGGGUCCGAGCGUUAAUCGGAAUUACUGGGCGUAAAGCGUGCGCAGGCGGUUUUGUAAGCCAGAUGUGAAAGCCCCGGGCUCAACCUGGGAACUGCAUUUGGGACUGCAAGGCUGGAGUACGGCAGAGGGAGGUGGAAUUCCACGUGUAGCAGUGAAAUGCGUAGAGAUGUGGAGGAACACCGAUGGCGAAGGCAGCCUCCUGGGCUAGUACUGACGCUCAUGCACGAAAGCGUGGGGAGCAAACAGG
Molecule: ribosomal RNA, 253 nt
Filed under: uncultured bacterium
Lineage: Bacteria
Description: partial 16S ribosomal RNA
Rfam family: Bacterial small subunit ribosomal RNA
Source: RNAcentral